UACGUAGGGUGCGAGCGUUAAUCGGAAUUACUGGGCGUAAAGGGUGCGUAGGCGGACUAUUAAGUCAGUGGUGAAAGCCUGCAGCUUAACUGCAGAAUUGCCAUUGAUACUGAUGGUCUUGAGUACAAUUGAGGUGGGCGGAACGGGUCAUGUAGCGGUGAAAUGCAUAGAUAUGACCCGGAACACCGAUUGCGAAGGCAGCCCACUAAGCAAUGAUUGACGCUGAGGCACGAAAGCGUGGGGAUCAAACAGG
Molecule: ribosomal RNA, 253 nt
Filed under: uncultured bacterium
Lineage: Bacteria
Description: partial 16S ribosomal RNA
Rfam family: Bacterial small subunit ribosomal RNA
Source: RNAcentral